CGCCUCCUGCAAAAAUCAAUGUAUAGGAGGUCUUGCCUGCCCAGUGACAAGUUAAACGGCCGCGGUAUUUUGACCGUGCGAAGGUAGCGCAAUCACUUGUCUUUUAAAUGAAGACCUGUAUGAAUGGUGGAACGAGGGCUUAACUGUCUCCCCUUUCAAGUCAAUGAAAUUGAUCUGCCCGUGCAGAAGCGGACAUAAAAAUACAAGACGAGAAGACCCUUUGGAGCUUAAGAUACAAGAUCAACUAUGUCAAGAACUCUAAAAUUAAGUUAAACUAAAUAGUUAACUGAUCCCUAUCUUCGGUUGGGGCGACCGCGGGAGAAAACAAAGCUCCCACGCGGACUGGGAUUAUAAUCCUAAAACCAAGAAAGACAUCUCUAAGUCGCAGAACAUCUGACCAUAAAGAUCCGGCCUAACCCGCCGACCAACGGACCAAGUUACCCUAGGGAUAACAGCGCAAUCCCCUUUCAGAGUCCAUAUCGACAAGGGGGUUUACGACCUCGAUGUUGGAUCAGGACAUCCUAAUGGUGCAGCCGCUAUUAAGGGUUCGUUUGUUCAACGAUUAAAGUCCU
This 572-nucleotide ribosomal RNA is filed under the name Pangasius bocourti. RNAcentral's name for it is "partial 16S ribosomal RNA". It matches the Rfam family "Bacterial large subunit ribosomal RNA", at positions 1816 to 2597 of the family's 2925-position model. The record is from RNAcentral. Lineage: Eukaryota; Metazoa; Chordata; Actinopteri; Siluriformes; Pangasiidae.